GACGAACGCUGGCGGCGUGCUUAACACAUGCAAGUCGAACGGAAAGGCCCUGCUUUUGUGGGGUGCUCGAGUGGCGAACGGGUGAGUAACACGUGAGUAACCUGCCCUUGACUUUGGGAUAACUUCAGGAAACUGGGGCUAAUACCGGAUAGGAGCUCCUGCUGCAUGGUGGGGGUUGGAAAGUUUCGGCGGUUGGGGCUGGACUAGCGGCUUAUCAGCUUGUUGGUGGGGUAGUGGCUUACCAAGGCUUUGACGGGUAGCCGGCCUGAGAGGGUGACCGGCCACAUUGGUACUGAGAUACGGCCCAGACUCCUACGGGAGGCAGCAGUGGGGAAUAUUGCACAAUGGGCGGAAGCCUGAUGCAGCGACGCCGCGUGCGGGAUGACGGCCUUCGGGUUGUAAACCGCUUUCGCCUGUGACGAAGCGUGAGUGACGGUAAUGGGUAAAGAAGCACCGGCUAACUACGUG
RNAcentral lists this ribosomal RNA (468 nucleotides) under uncultured bacterium. RNAcentral describes it as "partial 16S ribosomal RNA". It matches the Rfam family "Bacterial small subunit ribosomal RNA", at positions 28 to 507 of the family's 1533-position model. The record is from RNAcentral.